GCCUGGGAAGCCGGAGCGCCAGCUUCGGUGGAGGCGGCGGUGGGAUACCACCCUGGCGGUAUUGAAAUUCUAACCCGCACCCCUUAGCGGGGUGGGAGACAGUGUCAGGUGGGCAGUUUGACUGGGGCGGUCGCCUCCCAAAAGGUAACGGAGGCGCCCAAAGGUUCCCUCAGAAUGGUUGGAAAUCAUUCGGAGAGUGCAAAGGCAGAAGGGAGCUUGACUGCGAGACAGACAGGUCGAGCAGGGACGAAAGUCGGGCUUAGUGAUCCGGUGGUUCCGCAUGGAAGGGCCAUCGCUCAACGGAUAAAAGCUACCCCGGGGAUAACAGGCUGAUCUCCCCCAAGAGUCCACAUCGACGGGGAGGUUUGGCACCUCGAUGUCGGCUCAUCGCAUCCUGGGGCUGUAGUCGGUCCCAAGGGUUGGGCUGUUCGCCCAUUAAAGCGGUACGCGAGCUGGGUUCAGAACGUCGUGAGACAGUUCGGUCCCUAUCCGUCGCGGGCGCAGGAAAUUUGAGAGGAGCUGUCCUUAGUACGAGAGGACCGGGAUGGACGCACCGCUGGUGUACCAGUUGUCCCGCCAGGGGCACCGCUGGGUAGCUAUGUGCGGAAGGGAUAAGCGCUGAAAGCAUCUAAGCGUGAAGCCCCCCUCAAGAUGAGAUUUCCCAUCGCG
This 669-nucleotide ribosomal RNA is filed under the name Parageobacillus thermoglucosidasius. Its description in RNAcentral is "bacterial LSU rRNA". It matches the Rfam family "Bacterial large subunit ribosomal RNA", at positions 2153 to 2821 of the family's 2925-position model. Lineage: Bacteria; Bacillati; Bacillota; Bacilli; Caryophanales; Anoxybacillaceae. The record is from RNAcentral.